UUAAUCACUUUCUUUCACUUUUUUAUUAUCCAUUUUGUAUGCUGUGCUUACUUCUUCAUAUCUAGUGUGUAUAUACUUACAGACUUCAACUUGUAGAUCUUAAGUUUGAAUCUUGAUACAGGGAUGGGAAAAUAGUGGGGUUCUGUUCUCUUUUGUAUUGAAAGCCAUACUGAAUCUACAUAUGUACCAAAAAAGAAAAG
This is a long non-coding RNA of Hibiscus syriacus, 200 nucleotides long. RefSeq lists it as uncharacterized. Lineage: Eukaryota; Viridiplantae; Streptophyta; Magnoliopsida; Malvales; Malvaceae. The record is from RefSeq and is a predicted model, not a curated record. The transcript has 2 exons.